Molecule: non-coding RNA, 46 nt
Organism: Corvus brachyrhynchos (American crow)
Lineage: Eukaryota; Metazoa; Chordata; Aves; Passeriformes; Corvidae
Source: Rfam
UUAAAGGUUUUAAUCAAAACCAUCAAGCAAACAAAAGACAUAAAGG